GAUGAACGCUGGCGGCGUGCCUAAUACAUGCAAGUCGAGCGAACAGACGAGGAGCUUGCUCCUUCGACGUUAGCGGCGGACGGGUGAGUAACACGUAGGUAACCUACCUAUAAGACUGGGAUAACUUCGGGAAACCGGAGCUAAUACCGGAUAAUAUUUCGAACCGCAUGGUUCGAUAGUGAAAGAUGGCUUUGCUAUCACUUAUAGAUGGACCUGCGCCGUAUUAGCUAGUUGGUAAGGUAACGGCUUACCAAGGCAACGAUACGUAGCCGACCUGAGAGGGUGAUCGGCCACACUGGAACUGAGACACGGUCCAGACUCCUACGGGAGGCAGCAGUAGGGAAUCUUCCGCAAUGGGCGAAAGCCUGACGGAGCAACGCCGCGUGAGUGAUGAAGGUCUUCGGAUCGUAAAACUCUGUUACUAGGGAAGAACAAACGUGUAAGUAACUGUGCACGUCUUGACGGUACCUAAUCAGAAAGCCACGGCUAACUACGUG
RNAcentral lists this ribosomal RNA (497 nucleotides) under uncultured bacterium. RNAcentral's name for it is "partial 16S ribosomal RNA". It matches the Rfam family "Bacterial small subunit ribosomal RNA", at positions 28 to 507 of the family's 1533-position model. The record is from RNAcentral.